This 545-nucleotide ribosomal RNA is filed under the name uncultured bacterium. RNAcentral describes it as "bacterial SSU rRNA". It matches the Rfam family "Bacterial small subunit ribosomal RNA", at positions 355 to 893 of the family's 1533-position model. The record is from RNAcentral.
UAGGGAAUCUUCGGCAAUGGACGGAAGUCUGACCGAGCAACGCCGCGUGAGUGAAGAAGGUUUUCGGAUCGUAAAGCUCUGUUGUAAGAGAAGAACGAGUGUGAGAGUGGAAAGUUCACACUGUGACGGUAUCUUACCAGAAAGGGACGGCUAACUACGUGCCAGCAGCCGCGGUAAUACGUAGGUCCCGAGCGUUGUCCGGAUUUAUUGGGCGUAAAGCGAGCGCAGGCGGUUAGAUAAGUCUGAAGUUAAAGGCUGUGGCUUAACCAUAGUAGGCUUUGGAAACUGUUUAACUUGAGUGCAAGAGGGGAGAGUGGAAUUCCAUGUGUAGCGGUGAAAUGCGUAGAUAUAUGGAGGAACACCGGUGGCGAAAGCGGCUCUCUGGCUUGUAACUGACGCUGAGGCUCGAAAGCGUGGGGAGCAAACAGGAUUAGAUACCCUGGUAGUCCACGCUGUAAACGAUGAGUGCUAGUGUUAGACCCUUUCCGGGGUUUAGUGCCGUAGCUAACGCAUUAACACUCCGCCUGGGGAGUACGACCGCAAUG